Molecule: long non-coding RNA, 1011 nt
Organism: Vollenhovia emeryi
Lineage: Eukaryota; Metazoa; Arthropoda; Insecta; Hymenoptera; Formicidae
Exons: 2
Source: RefSeq, a predicted model, not a curated record
UCUAUGUAUGUACAUGAUAGAUACAGGAUAUUUUUUUCACAUUACGGACACUCCAUGUAUAUACAUAGAAUAUCCAAUGUUUACUGGGCUUGUGCCAUCAAAAGAAAUGCAUUACCUUGAGAAACAAAACUAUAAAUUGAAAAUCAAAUUGCUGGUCUGGUCGGAUUUUGUUAUAUUACUCUAACCGCCCUGAUUUUUUUCAGAGACUUCUGAAACUCCGUGAAAGUAACUUUUUUUAUGACGCCUUUCUUUUGUGUGUGUCAAUGUUUGGCUGCGCUCGCUGCGUUUUGAGAAAAAAUCGCUGUCAUCACAUAGUGCCCCGUGUCUCAAUGUGCCCCGCCUUCCACUACAUUCGUGUUUCGCACAAGCGCAGGAGACUCGAUAGAAGUUUCUCAGACGAUCGUAUAAUAUGGUUGAUUUGCAUUAUGUUUGCAGUUGUCCAAGUCAUGCCUGCUUCUUUGAUAAUACGACCGGAAUUGAUAGUUGACAUAAACCAGCCGUUCUGCUAUUACAUUAAACACAGCUCGCCAAGUGUAGCUUUAUUCCAAGGCCAUGUGAUCGAACCGAAAGUCUAGGUCUAGAAUGCAUACGUUGAUCGUUAAACGCAAGUCUAUUUGUCACACUCGCAUAUAUGCCUAUUGUAUACGAUGUUUGCAUUGAAGGAAAUCGUUGUCAUUGUCGGCAGAGGUAUUUUUUAUAACAGAAACGAUCUGUCUUUUCCGCAAUCUGUUACAAAAUACAAAAACUUUUUUUCUUGUAAUACCGAACGUCGUACGAUCGAACGUGUGAUAAUUUUGAUGAUGCAAAUACUGGCACACCCAAAGUUGUACGAUUCACGUCCGACAUCUAUUUUUCUUUUUAUAAAAUUGAAUUAAUAGCUCUAGUACUGUUUAGGUCCAAGCUAUUGUCUAUUUUCCAAAUCAUCCGAUUUUUCUCUAUUAUUACAUCUAAUUUAUUCUGGUGUUUUAAAUGACACGAAUAAAAUUAGAAUAAAAUUGGCUUGCUGAGUUA